Molecule: long non-coding RNA, 385 nt
Filed under: Elaeis guineensis (African oil palm)
Lineage: Eukaryota; Viridiplantae; Streptophyta; Magnoliopsida; Arecales; Arecaceae
Description: long non-coding RNA (EGUI_LNC024748)
Source: RNAcentral
GGUACCUGUAUUUUAGACCUUGAGUGCUGGAGUGUCAAAUUGAAAUGCAAAACCGACAAGCACUGAAACACAUUCAAUAAUUUUCCCAUUUUGGAUAAUUAUUGUACUCCAGUCUUUUAAUUAGUUGAGUGACAAUAGGUUAUUUUAGCUUAUUGUAGCAAAAGCUGCUUGGAAUUUUUGAUAAAAAAUUUUAGACUUUCCAAAACUGAUAUCAUUUAUAUGGGAUAAGACUUUCAUGUUAAUGUUGAGGUAUUAUCAACUAGCAAGGAGAUGGUUAUGCGAAUAUUAUAAACUUUUUCACUUGUUCCGUUGUCUUAGAAAUGUCAUGCUAAGAGCUGUGUUCCUCUGCACAAACUGUUCAGCACAACAUUUACAUGAAGAUACC